UACCUGGUUGGUCCUGCCAGUAGUCAUAUGCUUGUCUUAAAGAUUAAGCCAUGCAUGUCUAAGUAUAAGCAUUUAUACCGCGAGACUGCGAACGGCUCAUUAAAACAGUUAUGGUUUAUUUGAUGGUUCCUUUGCUACUUGGAUAACCGUAGUAAUUCUAGAGCUAAUACAUGGCACGAAGGGGGCGACUCACGAAGCCCUGUAUUUUAUUAGAUUAAAGCCAACCACCCCCGGGGUGUUCGUGGUGAAUCAUAGUAACUUCUCGGGAUCGCCGGCUCUACGCCAGCGACGUGUCAUUUCAAAUUUUCUGCCCUAUCAGCUUUUAGAUGGGUAGGAUAUGGGCCUACCAUGGGCGGGUGACGGGUAAACGGGAGAAUUAGGGGUUCGAUUCCGGAGAGGGAGCCUGAAGAAACGGGCUACCACUUUCUAAAGGAAGGCAGCAGGCGCGCAAAAUUACCCAAUCCUGACUCGGGGAGGAAGUGACAAGAAAUAACAAUAAAACCGGCUUAUGGCCGGUUUAAUUGGGAAUGGAGUACAUUUUAAAACAUCUUACCGAGGAAACAAUUGGGAGGGGGAAGGUCUGGGGGCCAGCAGCCGCGGUAAUUCCCGCUUCCAAUAGC
Molecule: ribosomal RNA, 620 nt
Filed under: uncultured marine eukaryote
Lineage: Eukaryota
Description: bacterial SSU rRNA
Rfam family: Eukaryotic small subunit ribosomal RNA
Source: RNAcentral